GACGAAGGUGGCAAGCGUUGCUCGGAAUCACUGGGCAUAAAGCGCGCGUAGGUGGCUUGAUAAGUCGAUGGUGAAAUCCCAUGGCUCAACCAUGGAACUGCCGUCGAUACUGUCAGGCUUGAGGGCGGUAGGGGAGAGUGGAACUCCUGGUGUAGCGGUGAAAUGCGUAGAUAUCAGGAGGAACGCCGGUGGCGAAAGCGACUCUCUGGGCCGUUCCUGACACUAAAGUGCGAAAGCUAGGGGAGCAAACAGG
This 253-nucleotide ribosomal RNA is filed under the name uncultured bacterium. RNAcentral's name for it is "partial 16S ribosomal RNA". It matches the Rfam family "Bacterial small subunit ribosomal RNA", at positions 524 to 776 of the family's 1533-position model. The record is from RNAcentral.